This 492-nucleotide ribosomal RNA is filed under the name uncultured bacterium. RNAcentral describes it as "partial 16S ribosomal RNA". It matches the Rfam family "Bacterial small subunit ribosomal RNA", at positions 29 to 507 of the family's 1533-position model. The record is from RNAcentral.
AUUGAACGCUGGCGGCAUGCUUUACACAUGCAAGUCGAACGGUAACAGGCCUUCGGGUGCUGACGCGUGGCGAACGGGCGAGUAAUGCAUCGGAACGUGCCCAGCGGUGGGGGAUAACGCAGCGAAAGCUGAGCUAAUACCGCAUGUGAUCUGAGGUUGAAAGCGGGGGACCAAGCAGCAAUGUUUGGCCUCGCGCCUCUGGAGCGGCCGAUAUCAGAUUAGGUAGUUGGUGGGGUAAAGGCCUACCAAGCCGACGAUCUGUAGCUGGUCUGAGAGGACGACCGGCCACACUGGGACGGAGACACGGCCCAGACUCCUACGGGAGGCAGCAGUGGGGAAUGUUGGACAAUGGGCGCAAGCCUGAUCCAGCAAUGCCGCGUGCGGGAAGAAGGCCUUCGGGGUGUAAACCGCUUUUGUACGGAACGAAAAGGCUCUGGCUAAUACCUGGGGCUGAUGACGGUACCGGAAGAAUAAGCACCGGCUAACUACGUG